GACGAACGCUGGCGGCGUGCCUAAUACAUGCAAGUUGAGCGAUGAAGAUUGGUGCUUGCACCAAUUUGAAGAGCAGCGAACGGGUGAGUAACGCGUGGGGAAUCUGCCUUUGAGCGGGGGACAACAUUUGGAAACGAAUGCUAAUACCGCAUAAUAACUUUAAACAUAAGUUUUAAGUUUGAAAGAUGCAAUUGCAUCACUCAAAGAUGAUCCCGCGUUGUAUUAGCUAGUUGGUGAGGUAAAGGCUCACCAAGGCGAUGAUACAUAGCCGACCUGAGAGGGUGAUCGGCCACAUUGGGACUGAGACACGGCCCAAACGCCUACGGGAGGCAGCAGUAGGGAAUCUUCGGCAAUGGACGAAAGUCUGACCGAGCAACGCCGCGUGAGUGAAGAAGGGUUUCGGAUCGUAAAACUCUGUUGGUAGAGAAGAACGUUGGUGAGAGUGGAAAGCUCAUCAAGUGACGGUAACUACACAGAAAGGGACGGCUAACUACGUG
Molecule: ribosomal RNA, 497 nt
Filed under: uncultured bacterium
Lineage: Bacteria
Description: partial 16S ribosomal RNA
Rfam family: Bacterial small subunit ribosomal RNA
Source: RNAcentral